UACAGAGGUCUCAAGCGUUGUUCGGAUUCAUUGGGCGUAAAGGGUGCGUAGGCGGCGCGGUAAGUCGGGUGUGAAAUCUCGGAGCUUAACUCCGAAACUGCAUUCGAUACUGCCGUGCUUGAGGACUGGAGAGGAGACUGGAAUUUACGGUGUAGCGGUGAAAUGCGUAGAUAUCAAGAGGAACACCUGAGGCGAAGGCGGGUUGCUAGGCUGACACUGACGCUGAGUGCGCGAAAGCCAGGGGAGCAAACGGG
This 254-nucleotide ribosomal RNA is filed under the name uncultured bacterium. RNAcentral describes it as "partial 16S ribosomal RNA". It matches the Rfam family "Bacterial small subunit ribosomal RNA", at positions 524 to 776 of the family's 1533-position model. The record is from RNAcentral.